GACGAACGCUGGCGGCGUGCCUAACACAUGCAAGUCGAGCGAAUGAAGUUCCUUCGAGAAUGGAUUUAGCGGCGGACGGGUGAGUAACACGUGGGCAACCUGCCUCAUAGAGGGGAAUAGCCUUCCGAAAGGGAGAUUAAUACCGCAUAAGAUUGUAGUACCGCAUGAUACAGCAAUUAAAGGAGCAAUCCGCUAUGAGAUGGGCCCGCGGCGCAUUAGCUAGUUGGUGAGGUAACGGCUCACCAAGGCGACGAUGCGUAGCCGACCUGAGAGGGUGAUCGGCCACAUUGGGACUGAGACACGGCCCAGACUCCUACGGGAGGCAGCAGUGGGGAAUAUUGCACAAUGGGGGAAACCCUGAUGCAGCAACGCCGCGUGAGUGAUGACGGCCUUCGGGUUGUAAAGCUCUGUCUUCAGGGACGAUAAUGACGGUACCUGAGGAGGAAGUCACGGCUAACUACGUGCCAGCAGCCGCCGUAA
RNAcentral lists this ribosomal RNA (480 nucleotides) under uncultured bacterium. RNAcentral describes it as "partial 16S ribosomal RNA". It matches the Rfam family "Bacterial small subunit ribosomal RNA", at positions 28 to 523 of the family's 1533-position model. The record is from RNAcentral.